Long non-coding RNA from Synchiropus splendidus (mandarinfish), 1439 nucleotides. RefSeq lists it as uncharacterized. The record is from RefSeq and is a predicted model, not a curated record. The transcript is spliced from 2 exons. NCBI's taxonomy places the organism in Eukaryota, Metazoa, Chordata, Actinopteri, Syngnathiformes, Callionymidae.
AUGCUGGUCCUGUUCCGCGGCUGUGCUCUCCUCGCCGUGGGCUGCCAUGUGUUUGCGCAUCCCAGGACAGUUGACAUUGAUUGUGCAGGAGACAGACCGAGACACAUUAGUACCCAGCUCGCUCCCCGCCAUUGAAAAACACAUUAACUGGCUGCUUCAGGAGCCCUGUCUGGUAACCAUGGCGAAGCACGCGGGGAGGGAGGAGGCGGCGGCUGAGUCGGGGCAGUGGGUUCACACUCUCUCUGGGGUUGUCUCUCUCAAACGCUGCUAUCCUCCGGCCACGUCUGUCAUUUCUUGCAGACUGGCUGUCUUUCGUGAACUCUUGCUCCGAGCCGCUCUCGCCAGCACAAUUUGCAUAGUAGUUUGUCUCUGCUGAGGCUUCUCUCAUUGAUGCUGACCUCAUCACUCUGGCCUCGCCGCACUCCACCCGCUUGUCCUGCGCACCCCACUAGCCUCUAAUUUCCUUAAGAUUGGGUUUUUUGAUUGUAUUUCUGACUGGAUAUUUUUUUCAGUGUUACAGCCUUUCACAUGAGAGGAUGCUGUUGAAACCACAAUUCUUGAGAUCACGAGUGCCCACUUGUUUUCCCCUCAAACUCUUGCAACAAACACAAGCACACAAUGUUUUUUACCAUCCUGAAUGCAUCUCACCUCAAACAUUCAUCUAGGCAGCAGCACAUUUAAAGAACAAGUGAUUGUAACUGUUUUUUGUCAGUAUUGUCCGUAUCAGUAUUUUUUUUUUAAUCAAUGGCCGUCGUAUAGUUCCAUAAUGUACUGCGACAGAUCAUAUAACAGCUAAGGUCAAAGGAGCCAAUGGUUUCAAGCAGUAAUUAAAGAUUGGUUUCAGAAAGAUUUCAGAUUGGUUUUAGAAAGUUAGUGAGUUUGACAGCCAUCAGCUGAAGUGUGUGCCCUCUUUGUGCACCUGAAUUCUAAAUAAAGACUAAAACCAUUGUGUGUGUGUCUCGUGUGGAAACAAGCAGAGUGAUCUGCCACAGUAGCGCGACAAAAACCAAAACGAAGAUAUUCACGCAGAGGCUUUCUUCAAAGGUACUAUGGCCUGGUUCAAUCCACUUCAUGACGUGCUGUGUCACAGCAGGAGAACACAGAGGUCUACCAUCGCCCAUGGGAGCCUUGGCUAGCUCUUGAAUCAGCUACAGGACCAUCUGGAUUCUAAGGACCUGCCAUUGAAGUUCCCUCUCUCUGUAUCACAAACCUCAGACAGUUGUUUCUUCAGUGCCAUCUCAGAUUGUGGACUGUUCCUCGCCACAGUGAUCACCUGAAUCUUAUUCAUACACUUAAACGCUGUUUCUAUGUCUUUUCCUUUUUUUCUGGUCCUGAUCUUGUGAUGGAUGAAACAUUCCAGGUGACUGGGAGUAAGUGUCAUAAGCAAGUCACUAGUUAAUAAAAUAAAUUAUCUCAAUAAAACCAGCUUGCAUUUUGAA